ACCCGCUGAACUUAAGCAUAUCAGUAAGCGGAGGAAAAGAAACUAAAUAGGAUUCCCCCAGUAACGGCGAGUGAAAAGGGAAAAGUCCAUCGCUAAAUCGUUUUGCCUCAGGCAUUAUGAGGUGUAGCGUAUAAGUCGUAAACUUUGAUCUUUUGUCUCAAACAAGUCCCCUUGACAGAGGUUCCACAGAAGGUGCAAGUCCUGUACGUUGAGAUAAUUGAUCGAUAUUUGCGUGCUUUAGAGUCGGGUUGUUUGGGAUCGCAGCCCAAAGUCGGUGGUAAACUUCAUCUAAGACUUAAUAUUGCCACGAGACCGAUAGCAAACAAGUACUGUGAAGGAAAGUUGCAAAGCACUUUGAAGAGAGAGUUAAAGAGGACGUGAAACCGGUAAGGUGGAAACGGAUAGAGUCGGCGUAUCAUUCAAUUAUUCAGUUACAUUAUUUUUAUGUUGUGACCUCUGAGCUCCAGAUUGGGACAGAGGGAAUCAGCAUAAUUUUUUGUGGUGCAUUUACUUGAUUGGUGCUUGGGGAUGUUUGAGGCUGAUUUGUUUCCGUCGUUUUGAGGCCAGCUUGCUGGUACCCAAACGGUGUUAGCAUUUUUUGUCUUGGGCAUUUGAGUAUGGCUCACGUGUAUUUAUUGGACAGAUCUGAGUGUAAGUUACGGUCGCAUGCGACACGUGCUUUUCAAUUAGUUCGGUCCAGUUAAUGCUCUCGUACUCGUUCCCCAUGUAAAAGCCGGUCAUCUAUCCGACCCGUCUUGAAACACGGACCAAGGAGUUUAUCGUGUGCGCAAGUUUUUGGGUGUUAAAAACUUAAAAGCGAAAUGAAAGUAAAUGACUCUUUAGAGUCUGAUGUGCGAUCUUGUAAAAAAGUGUAGCAUGGCCCCAUUCUAACUGUUUACAGUAGGGUGGCGGAAGAGCGUACGCGGUGAGACCCGAAAGAUGGUGAACUAUUCCUGAGCAGGACGAAGCCAGAGGAAACUCUGGUGGAAGUCCGAAGCGGUUCUGACGUGCAAAUCGAUCGUCUGACUUGGGU
This 1033-nucleotide ribosomal RNA is filed under the name Meloidogyne incognita (southern root-knot nematode). RNAcentral describes it as "eukaryotic LSU rRNA". It matches the Rfam family "Eukaryotic large subunit ribosomal RNA", at positions 23 to 916 of the family's 3401-position model. Lineage: Eukaryota; Metazoa; Nematoda; Chromadorea; Rhabditida; Meloidogynidae. The record is from RNAcentral.